This 723-nucleotide long non-coding RNA is filed under the name Cyanistes caeruleus (blue tit). RNAcentral's name for it is "lncRNA (ENSCCEG00000012506.1)". The record is from RNAcentral. Lineage: Eukaryota; Metazoa; Chordata; Aves; Passeriformes; Paridae.
AUUAGCAAUCCUUGUGGAAGGAGUUAAUCAGGGAUGAGUCAUGGAGGAGAUAAGGAACACUGCCACACCUGGCCUUAACAGCUUAUGAAGAUGGUAAUAGAAUGCACACUUUUUGUUACAACUUACAUUAUAACCUAAGACACAUAGAAAACUACAAAUUUGCAUUAAAUGAAUGGUUAGCAUAUUUCAGUGUCAUAAAGAAAAGCAGGAGAAGAGUGGUCUUCCUUCAGAAAUGCAAACAUUUGCUCCUCAGCUGUAGGUUUAUAUACUCUCUAUAGCAAAUGCUGAAAAAUACUGCCAUAGUUGAGCUCACUUUAUAGCUGGGAGUGCUAAGCAUCCAGUAAAUGCAAGCAACAAGCAGGUUCCUGUUGCUGAAGGUCUACAAAGGUCGGUAUUCAACAGACUGCAAUAACUUGGUUGGUACACAUUGCCCACCAUUGCCAGUGCUUCACUUUGUACUGAUCAGAAAUGUUGAACAUGAUCCCCUGAACAAGAAAACACCCUGUUUCUAUGGGAGAAAUAGGAAAAUGAGAACAUUUUACCUACAAGAUCUCCUGUGCAGCUGGAAAAUAGGGCAUCAUUAUCUGUCAAGAAGGACUGCCAUAGAUCUACAGACUGAGAAACAAAUGCAGAAGGGUUAUAUCAGGAUAAUUUUACAUUUUGGAUGGCUGUAGAGAAGAGUGUCGUGAGCUGAAUAAGGAACUGCUGGAUCAUCUUCUCUCA